Molecule: ribosomal RNA, 255 nt
Filed under: uncultured bacterium
Lineage: Bacteria
Description: partial 16S ribosomal RNA
Rfam family: Bacterial small subunit ribosomal RNA
Source: RNAcentral
UAGCUAGUAGGUGGGGUAACGGCUCACCUAGGCGACGAUCCCUAGCUGGUCUGAGAGGAUGACCAGCCACACUGGAACUGAGACACGGUCCAGACUCCUACGGGAGGCAGCAGUGGGGAAUAUUGCACAAUGGGCGCAAGCCUGAUGCAGCCAUGCCGCGUGUAUGAAGAAGGCCUUCGGGUUGUAAAGUACUUUCAGCGGGGAGGAAGGCGAUAAGGUUAAUAACCUUGUCGAUGACGUACCCGCAGAAGAAGC